GAUAUUGAGCGUAUAGCAGUCAUGCAGGCAAAACCGCAUGAAAAAUGUAAAGCGUUAUGUGGAUCGAACAUUAGUAGAGAAGCGUGUGAGCCAGCUGCCAAGAAAAGUCGCUAUUGCUUCAUAAGUACCCGUACCGUAAACCGACACAGGUGGAUGAGGAGAGAAUCCUAAGGCCGGCGGGAGAAGUGUUGUUAAGGAACUCGGCAAAAUGACUCCGUAACUUCGGGAGAAGGAGUGCCACAGAGAUGUGGCCGCAGAGAAAUGGCCCAAGCAACUGUUUAGCAAAAACACAGGUCUAUGCAAAACCGAAAGGUGAGGUAUAUGGGCUGACGCCUGCCCGGUGCUGGAAGGUUAAGAGGAGAGGUUAGAGCAAUCGAAGCUUUGAAUUUAAGCCCCAGUAAACGGCGGCCGUAACGAUAACGGUCCUAAGGUAGCGAAAUUCCUUGUCGGGUAAGUUCCGACCCGCACGAAAGGCGUAAUGAUUUGGGCACUGUCUCAACAACACACCCGGUGAAAUUGAAAUACCAGUGAAGAUGCUGGUUACCUGCGCCAGGACGGAAAGACCCCAUGGAGCUUUACUCCAGUUUGAUACUGGGAUUCGGUACUGUCUGUACAGGAUAGGUGGGAGGCUAGGAAAUGGUGACGCCAGUUGCCAUGGAGCCAACCUUGGGACACCACCCUUAUAGUACUGGGCUUCUAACCUGCAGCCGUAACCCGGCUGGGGGACAAUGUCUGACGGGGAGUUUGACUGGGGCGGUCGUCUCCGAAAGAGUAUCGGAGGCGCUCAAAGGUUCCCUCAGAACGGUUGGAAACCGUUCGAAGAAUGCAAAGGCAGAAGGGAGCUUGACUGCGACACCGACGGGUGGAGCAGAUACGAAAGUAGGACUUAGUGAUCCGGUGGUAUAAAGUGGGAUUGCCAUCGCUCAACGGAUAAAAGCUACCCUGGGAUAACAGGCUUAUCACUCCCAAGAGUUCACAUCGACGGAGUGGUUUGGCACCUCGAUGUCGGCUCAUCGCAUCCUGGAGCUGUAGCAGGUUCCAAGGGUUGGGCUGUUCGCCCAUUAAAGCGGUACGCGAGCUGGGUUCAGAACGUCGUGAGACAGUUCGGUCCCUAUCCGGCGUGGGCGUAGGAUAUUUGAGAGGAGCUGUCCUUAGUACGAGAGGACCGGGAUGGACAAACCUCUGGUGUAUCUGUUGUUUUACCAAAGGCAUGGCAGAGUAGCCAAGUUUGGCAGGGAUAAACGCUGAAGGCAUCUAAGCGUGAAGCCCCCCUCAAGAUAAGAUAUCCCAUCUUCGGAGUAAGACCCCUUGAAGACUACAAGGUUGAUAGGCUUUGUGUGUAAGUGCGGUAACGCACUCAGCUGAGAAGUACUAAUAGGUCGAGGACUUACCAA
RNAcentral lists this ribosomal RNA (1394 nucleotides) under metagenome. RNAcentral's name for it is "bacterial LSU rRNA". It matches the Rfam family "Bacterial large subunit ribosomal RNA", at positions 1508 to 2925 of the family's 2925-position model. The record is from RNAcentral.